UGCCGGUGUCAAACCGGAGGAAGGUGGGGAUGACGUCAAGUCCUCAUGCCCCUUACGUCCAGGGCUGCACACGUGCUACAAUGGUCGGUACAAAGGGCUGCAAACCCGCGAGGGAGAGCGAAUCCCAUAAAGCCGAUCUCAGUUCGGAUCGCAGUCUGCAACUCGACUGCGUGAAGUUGGAGUCGCUAGUAAUCGCAGAUCAGCAUUGCUGCGGUGAAUACGUUCCCGGGCCUUGUACACACCGCCCGUCACACCACGAAAGUUGGUAACACCCGAAGCCAGUGGCCCAACCCUUGGGAGGGAGCUGUCGAAGGUGGGAUUAGCGAUUGGGGUGAAGUCGUAACAAGGUAGCCGUACCGGAAGGUGCGGCUGGAUCACCUCCUUUCUAAGGAGCA
This 395-nucleotide ribosomal RNA is filed under the name Actinomycetota bacterium. RNAcentral's name for it is "bacterial SSU rRNA". It matches the Rfam family "Bacterial small subunit ribosomal RNA", at positions 1150 to 1533 of the family's 1533-position model. Lineage: Bacteria; Bacillati; Actinomycetota. The record is from RNAcentral.